UACGAGGGGUGCUAGCGUUGCUCGGAAUUAUUGGGCGUAAAGGGUAGGUAGGUGGUCUCAUUUGUCUCAUGUGAAAGCCUUGAGCUUAACUCAAGAAGUGCGUGAGAAACGGUGAGACUAGAGUACUGGAGAGGCUAGUGGAAUUCCCGGUGUAGCGGUGAAAUGCGCAGAUAUCGGGAAGAACACCCGUGGCGAAGGCGGCUCUCUGGGACGGUACUGACGCUGAGACGCGAAAGCGUGGGGAGCGAACAGG
This 253-nucleotide ribosomal RNA is filed under the name uncultured bacterium. RNAcentral's name for it is "partial 16S ribosomal RNA". It matches the Rfam family "Bacterial small subunit ribosomal RNA", at positions 524 to 776 of the family's 1533-position model. The record is from RNAcentral.